CUAAUCUACAUAUUCAUACAACCCCCACUCCACUCCCAAUUCAUCCCCAACUUGUUUUCUUCCUCUUAUCUAUGUGCAACUACACAAUACCCACCACCACCUGCCUGUGAUCGAAACUAAGUUAUAGUCGCCACCACCACGACAUAAGCAGUGCCUCUGAUGAUGGUGUCACACAAACACUGCGUGCGACAACGAUGAGUUUUAAACUUGGUUGUGGUAAAAUGUUGUUGCUACGACCAGCAGCGAUUUGCUUCACCAAAUGUCGUAGCAGUAACAAGCGGCUCUUUGUGAUGGUGCCGCUUGCUUCACUAUCAGGGCUAACAAAAAUUUUUGCUAUCUCCCCAAACAGAUCGAUCUCUUGUCCAACCAAAAGGUGUCAAAUGUAAAUUCAGGCGAUGGGGACAAUGGAGUGAUGGAUGGACGGGUGGUAAUAGGGAGAUUAUUAGAGGUAACAGAGACCGCUUUGGUUGUGGUGGAGGUGAUUUCACGGGUGGUAACGUGAAUAUUGAUAGCAGUGGUAAGCUUACAGGUGGUGGCGGUGAGUGAUUGGGUGGUGGAGAUGAGCUCACGAGUGGUGGUGGAGAGAAAAUUGGUUUUGGUGUUGGAUUUGAUGAUGAAGGAGAUGGAACCAGCAUAAUUUUAUCAAAUUUUAAGCGAUGGGUGGUUUUUUUUAUCAGAUUUUUUGUUUAAUUAGAGUUUUUGGGAUGGUUGUUCGUGUUUUGCAGUGUAGAUGAUUUUCUGAUCUGUGGUGAUUCUAUUGUUGGUGGUUGUGUAGGUUGGUUUUGUGAUUGGUUGUGACUUGAGAUUAACCUGGUCACAAACAUUCACAUUGAAUACAAUUUUGGUCACAGCUAGUCACACUGAAGAUAAAGUUGGUCAUGGUUAACCACAGGUCUGCAGUGCGCGCAGAUUUGUUUGUGGUGAUCCUAUGCAAUCAAGUAUGUUUUAUGACUAUUUGUGAUCAAUUGUAUUGAUUGUAAUCGAUUGUAACUUGAGAUCGACCAGGUUACAGGCAGUCACAUUCAAUACAAAUUUGGUUACAAUUAGUCACAUUGAAGAUAGUUGGUCACAAGAGUCGGAGUGGUCAUUGGAGCAAUUUGUCGGAGGGAUCGUCUAACAGCCGCCGGAGCGAGCCUUGAAGUGAUUACGGGAACAGUCAUCGGAACGACCGUCGAAGUGACCGCUGGAAUGACCAUCGAAGCGAUCGUUGGAGCCGAUGGCCAUCUCCAAUAAAGAGGUGGAAGGAAGGUGGUGUAUUGGGGUGAUAGGAUAGGGGGAUGAGAUGACAUCGAUGGAAAUAAUUAAUGUAUAUUAUAUUAUAUUAUUUAAUAAAUUU
Molecule: long non-coding RNA, 1336 nt
Filed under: Olea europaea subsp. europaea
Lineage: Eukaryota; Viridiplantae; Streptophyta; Magnoliopsida; Lamiales; Oleaceae
Source: RNAcentral